RNAcentral lists this ribosomal RNA (300 nucleotides) under uncultured Fluviicola sp. RNAcentral's name for it is "bacterial SSU rRNA". It matches the Rfam family "Bacterial small subunit ribosomal RNA", at positions 114 to 415 of the family's 1533-position model. The record is from RNAcentral. Lineage: Bacteria; Pseudomonadati; Bacteroidota; Flavobacteriia; Flavobacteriales; Crocinitomicaceae.
CGCGUAUGCAACCUACCUUGUACUGAGGGAUAGCCCGAAGAAAUUCGGAUUAAUACCUCAUAGUAUUUAGCGAUCACAUGAUCAUUAAAUUAAAGAUUACGGUACAAGAUGGGCAUGCGUCCUAUUAGCUAGAUGGUAAGGUAACGGCUUACCAUGGCUACGAUAGGUAGGGGGCCUGAGAGGGUGACUCCCCCACACUGGUACUGAGACACGGACCAGACUCCUACGGGAGGCAGCAGUGAGGAAUAUUGGUCAAUGGAGGCAACUCUGAACCAGCCAUGCCGCGUGCAGGAAGACGGC